GGCAUUGUGGCUCAGUUGGUAGAGCAUGGUGUUUGCAAUGGUAUUUGCAACGCCAGGGUUGUGGGUUCGAUUCCCACGGGGGGCCA
Molecule: non-coding RNA, 86 nt
Organism: Salmo salar (Atlantic salmon)
Lineage: Eukaryota; Metazoa; Chordata; Actinopteri; Salmoniformes; Salmonidae
Source: Rfam